Molecule: long non-coding RNA, 957 nt
Filed under: Helianthus annuus (common sunflower)
Lineage: Eukaryota; Viridiplantae; Streptophyta; Magnoliopsida; Asterales; Asteraceae
Description: hypothetical non coding rna
Source: RNAcentral
AUAGUUAAAUAAAUGCUUGAGAUAAUCAUGGAUUUCCGCAUCUACAUAAAAAGAAAAAAAAAAAAAACAAUUAACAUUUUUAAUUUUUUUUCAUCCCAUUAUUCGCAUCAUGGGUGCGUCAUCAUUAUGAGGCAUUGGCAAAACUUCCGGCAUACACAUCCACCGGUGCAACGUAUUCAUUUGGUAACAUGGAUCCCCUUGCAACGCCGUCGAAUAACCGUAACGGCGCUUCCAAUUCCUCCUUGUUCUUCCCUCCAAAUAGAGGCAUGAAUCACAUUCAAGAUUACACAACAAAGUGAAAGGGGAGAAACCAAUAUUUCAUAUCAAUGUUCCACUUCUUCAUUUGCAGCAUGUGUUAUUUCAAAAUGUGAAAUAUACAUCGUGGCAGAAAUCGCAAAACCUAUUAUGUGCUCUGCAUCAUCUUCUUUACCACAUGCCUUCGAGAUUGAUUUUGAUUGUUCUUUGUAUCGACUCUAAUACCAAUUGUAGAGAAUUGGAACACAUGACCAGAGGUUUUUUGUGACGGUGGUGAAACGAUGGGGAAUCGGUGGAUGAAGUUGACGCGUCUGUUUGAUUCUUUUCGGAAGGCGGAUGGGUUUGGUUGUUGACGGUUUCUGAAUGUUUCUAUUGAAUGUUUUGAAUGCGGAAAGUAAGGACGGUUUUUUAUGUGUUUCGACAAUGGUUUUUAUGAAUGUUUCAAAGACACGGGGGUUUGUUUUGUUCAGUCGGUUCCAUUUAAUUUAUUUGUGAUCAAGAUUUUGAAGAACGUGACCCUUCACAACUUAAACCCAUAGUACCUUUUAACAAAAGGAUACAACGUUUCUGAAGGAUAAGACUUUAUAUGCAUUAAAUUAAAAUGACAGCCUUUCAUUUUAGAAAAUAUUUUGAAUUAAUAGCUUUUCUAAUAGAUGUGUCUUUUACUUAAGGGGUGUAACUCAAGUUACUUUUUGUAGGAUU